This 474-nucleotide long non-coding RNA is filed under the name Capsicum annuum. Its description in RNAcentral is "long non-coding RNA (CANN_LNC019760)". The record is from RNAcentral. Lineage: Eukaryota; Viridiplantae; Streptophyta; Magnoliopsida; Solanales; Solanaceae.
UAAAAAUUACUCUUUCUAUUCUCUUCCUUAUAUAUAUAUUUGAAUAUCUUUCUAUUUCUCUUUCUUUUCUUUUAAUAGGUUUUAUUAUUCGGUCUUUAUAUUACAACAAAAAACUCUCUGUACAAAUGAAUGUUGCGCACACAUUUUGUAUUAAACGGUUCGUCACCAACAUGAGUUGAAAUGUAGUGGUGGGACUAAAUCAUCCUUAAUUAAUUUGAGUCUUCUGGGUAUGAAAAAAUCUUAUUGGGAGCGUCACCCUAGAAUGGGAACUGCAAUGCACGAUUUGGAUUAGUCAGCGCUACAAUGCAAAUAUCGGACACCAGAUGAAAAAAAAAAAGGUUCCCCAAUAUCAAUUGAUUAUAUAUCAUGUAUCAUUUGAUCUAAGCUUCAUCUUUUUCAUUCUCCUCUUAUUGUAUUUGUUAUGAUAGAUUUUUUUUUUUUUUUCACUUUGUAGUUGAAUGGUUUUUGUCCAAG